RNAcentral lists this ribosomal RNA (497 nucleotides) under uncultured bacterium. Its description in RNAcentral is "partial 16S ribosomal RNA". It matches the Rfam family "Bacterial small subunit ribosomal RNA", at positions 28 to 507 of the family's 1533-position model. The record is from RNAcentral.
GAUGAACGCUGGCGGCGUGCCUAAUACAUGCAAGUCGAGCGAACAGACGAGGAGCUUCCUCCUCUGACGUUAUCGGCGGACGGGUGAGUAACACGUGGAUAACCCAUCUAUAAGACUGGGAUAAAUUCGGGAAACCGGCGCUAAUACCGGAUAAUAUAUUGAACCGCAUGGUUCAAUAGUGAAAGACGGUUUUGCUAUCACUUAUAGAUGGAUCCGCGCCGCAUUAGCUAGUUGUUAAGGUAACGGCUUACCAAGGCAACGGAGCGUAGCCUACCUGAGAGGGUUACCGGCCACCCUGGAUCUUGGUCACGGUCCGCACUCCUACGGGAGCCAGCAGUAGGGCACUUUCGCAAAUGGUGGAAGGUUGGACGGAGCAACGCCGCGGGGUGAAGGAGGUUAUUCGAAUCGUAAAACUCUUUUAUUAGGGAAGAUGAAUUAUGUAGUUAACAAUGCACGUCUUGACGGUAUCUAAGCAGAAAGCCACGGCUAACUACGUG